Molecule: long non-coding RNA, 2205 nt
Organism: Gasterosteus aculeatus (three-spined stickleback)
Lineage: Eukaryota; Metazoa; Chordata; Actinopteri; Perciformes; Gasterosteidae
Source: Ensembl
AUAAAACGUUGGCCUUGCCGGACCACCGCUGCGGAGGACAUGUCGCCCUGGACAAACAGCCCGCCGGUCUCAUCCACCUCUCCUCACCUGGACCUUCUGCUGCCGUCCACCACACGCACCAGCCCGCCCACCACCAGUCUGCGGCGGUGCCGGCCUGCAGCUGGACCCUCGGCCUUCCUCCGGGUCGGAGGGUGCUUUUAAAGUUGGUGUGGUUGGACAGAGGUUCAGGCACGGUGAGCUGUGCUGGGGACGAGGGGAACCGGGUCCUGGAGAGCGGGGGGGCGGUUCUGCUCUCGGGCUGUGAUGGACACAGAGCCGCCUUCACUUGGACGGGAUCAGUACGCCCCUCAAGUGGAGUUCAGCUGUCCUAUAAUGUCCAGGAAGAUGAGAGGAAUUCCUCGGAGGACCACGCCGGCCCACGUUCAGACCGAGACCUCCAUCGUUGGUCUCCGACAGGAACCAGCUUUACAAGCGCCUCUCCUGUGGCUCAACACGUGGCGAGAGGCACGGACGGGCGCACAGGUCGCCUCUUUGAAGGUCCGCAGGGGAGCCCUGUGCCUCGGCCUGCGUCCAGUCCCUCCUCCCGGGACCAGGGGCCACUGCACCCCACCUCCCCCCCCGCAGGGACCCACCAUGGCUGGGAGAGCCGAUAGGGAAACUCUCCCUCUUCCUGAGGAAGCGCCGAACAAUGGAGCGGAUACAUCUGGAGCUGCUCGCCACGCCGAUGGAAAAAUGCCUGCCGCGGACAGAGCGCGACCCAGUUUCCAGCCCACGGACUCGCCGUUUGACACAACGCACACAUCAAACACAGGGAGGGAAUCGAGCGACCAGCCCGUUACCUCCGAAGCCUUGCCCGGCGUGUAUGUUCACAAAUACACAGCCACUCGAGCUCGCUCCAGCCCCAGCGUCCACCUUCUCAGCUCCGCUUCGCCUUCCGGGGCCACCUGGGAGGGUGGUGCUUCUGGGGAGGAACAGCCCCAUUCCUGGAGGAGCCAUCGAAGCACAGACGGACUCAACUCCGAUCUGACCUCCGCCUUCACCUCUGAUCCUGUGAAACCCCCAACCGAGCCUCGGCAGGGUGACUCCCAGGCCGACGCCGCGCCGCCAUCGCCGCGAGCCCUUGUCGCAGAGCUUGAAACCGAGGCCGCUUCGUUUCAUCCAAACACGGGUGGAACUGACUCAUCCGUUCCGGCUGCGUCGGAGGUCACCAAUCACACCGUCACGUCCGAGCCCUACGAACUCGUGACGCUUCACACUUUCACUUCCUCCACAGGGAGUCGAGCGAACCCUCCGCAAAGCACCAGGGGCCUCGUGGCAGAUGCGGCGGCCCAGACCUCGGCCCCCUCGGGAACGACUACUGACGCUGGAACGUCCACGCUGCCUCCCACCUACACGCCCUCACGCGACAGGUGGCCCGCCAGUUCGCAGACUCCUGAUGCCCUUUUCUCGCCCGGGGCGUCCACGCGGUCAUCAACGGCGUCGCGCACGCUCCAAACACCCACUGCGUUGCCCGGUCGUUCCCGUUUGACACACGCACCCUUUGCUCCGCCCUCCUCUACCGCUGAACCACUCAUUGGCCACGACAACGAGCCUGGGCCCUCACAAACCAUCGAAUCCGAAUCUUCACGCACACCUCAUACGCAAAACCGCGUACCUUGGACGUUUUCCCCGGUUACGCUUAAACAGCCGCGUAUUACCACUGCACCCACGUCUCUGCUCUCACCCGCAACUGCAAAAACACAUUCUGGGCUUGGAAGUGAAGAGGUAGAGGAAGCGGAGAAAAAGACCACACAGACCCCCACAGUCGGGUCUCCAUUAACUAGGCCUCCAUCGACCGGGCCUCCAUCGACANNNNNNNNNNGGGCCUUUAUCGACCGGGCCUCCAUCGACCGGGCCUCCAUCGACCGGGCCUCCAUCGACAGGGCCUCCAUCGACCGGGCCUUUAUCGACCGGGCCUUUAUCGACCGGGCCUCCAUCGACAGGGCCUUUAUCGACCGGGCCUUUAUCGACCGGGCCUCCAUCGACCGGGCCUCCAUCGACCGGGCCUUUAUCGACCGGGCCUCCAUUGUGGACCGCCUCACACCCCGGCCAGGAGCCCCGUUCCACACUCACACCUCCUGCUCUAACCUUCGCCUGGAGCCCCGCGGCCACUCAGACACCCGACUUCUACAUCGUGCCGGACCAACCUUCAGCCAUCAGAGGUAA